Molecule: ribosomal RNA, 477 nt
Filed under: uncultured bacterium
Lineage: Bacteria
Description: partial 16S ribosomal RNA
Rfam family: Bacterial small subunit ribosomal RNA
Source: RNAcentral
GAUGAACGCUGGCGGCGUGCCUAACACAUGCAAGUCGAACGAAGCACCUUACCUGAUUCUUCGGAUGAAAGUUUGGUGACUGAGUGGCGGACGGGUGAGUAACGCGUGGGUAACCUGCCCUGUACAGGGGGAUAACAGCUGGAAACGGCUGCUAAUACCGCAUAAGCGCACGAGGAGACAUCUCCUUGUGUGAAAAACUCCGGUGGUACAGGAUGGGCCCGCGUCUGAUUAGCUGGUUGGCAGGGUAACGGCCUACCAAGGCAACGAUCAGUAGCCGGUCUGAGAGGAUGAACGGCCACAUUGGAACUGAGACACGGUCCAAAUUCCUACGGGAGGCAGCAGUGGGGAAUAUUGCACAAUGGGGGAAACCCUGAUGCAGCAACGCCGCGUGAGUGAAGAAGUAUUUCGGUAUGUAAAGCUCUAUCAGCAGGGAAGAUAAUGACGGUACCUGACUAAGAAGCUCCGGCUAAAUACGUG